AACGAACGCUGGCGGCAGGCCUAACACAUGCAAGUCGAGCGAGGACUUCGGUCCUAGCGGCGGACGGGUGAGUAACGCGUGGGAACGUGCCCUUUGCUUCGGAAUAGCCCUGGGAAACUGGGAGUAAUACCGGAUGAGCCCUUUGGGGGAAAGAUUUAUCGGCGAAGGAUCGGCCCGCGUUGGAUUAGGUAGUUGGUGGGGUAAUGGCCUACCAAGCCGGCGAUCCGUAGCUGGUUGGAGAGGAUGAUCAGCGACACUGGGACUGGGACACGGCCCAGACGCCACGGGGGGGCGGGGUGGGGGAAACUAGACAAUGGGGGAAACCCUGAUCUAGCCAUGCCGCGUGAGCGAUGAAGGCCUUAGGGUUGUAAAGCUCUUUCAGCUGGGAAGAUAAUGACGGUACCAGCAGAAGAAGCCCCGGCUAACUCCGUG
Molecule: ribosomal RNA, 432 nt
Filed under: uncultured bacterium
Lineage: Bacteria
Description: partial 16S ribosomal RNA
Rfam family: Bacterial small subunit ribosomal RNA
Source: RNAcentral